AUGGCUGUUGUUAUCCAAAAAGGAGACGAGCUUGGACGUGUUUUGGUGCAGGUGCAGAAUGAUUUAAGUCAGCUGAGGAAGCGGCUGGGGCGCGCAGAGCAGUGCGGGACUGUGGAUGUUCGAGCUCUGGAUGAGGCGAUACGCAGGACAGAGGACAGCGUCAAGACCCAUGCAGAGGAAUAUCUAAAAACAGUAAAUAAACAAGUACUGACUCUUCCUGUUAUUGAACAUGUUGAGAAGAAAAAUGUGAAGAUUGCCAAAUGGCAACCAUUCACUGAGUCUAUUCCAUAUCUUCCAUCUCAGAAUUAUCAUGGUGCUAUAUCAUCUUCUGGAGAGAAGCACAAGAUAGCUUUCACAAUGCGUGUUUUAUGCAACCCUGACCACCCAAAACACAGAGACCUGAUGCAUCAGAACUAUGGCAUUCAACAUCCUGAUCUGUACAAGAAACCUGGGCCUACUUUAGGAACUCAGAAAACCCUGAGCUCUACUGCUGUUCUUCCUAUAGACCAGAACAGAAAUGCAUCUCCUCUGUGUAACAAGGACAAGAAUCUGCAAAUACUUCAAGGAAAAGAGCAGAGGGAGAGAAGACAAAAUAAGGACGUCACCAUAGCUUUCAAAACCAUUGCUGAAUGCCCGCCUGUUUGGGCCACACUGACUCCGCCUCCCACUGCUGCCUCUGAUAGCAGACGCCUUCCCCAUGGACCAGGACGACUCACGCCACUAAACUCUCAGUGUGUUCCAGCAUUACCAUCAGCUCCUAGUAGUCAACACUUCUUCAGUAUAGUGGAGGGGCAAAUUGAUCCAAGUGCUGCUGACUUCUGUGCUUUUAAGGAGCACUACUGUCUAAGUUGGAGUACUUUGCUAGAGAUGGUGAGGCAGCUUGAGCAGCUGCUGUGCCAGUUUGCUGUGCCUCAUGCACUUGUGUGUGGCGAUCGACUUGUGGCCUUGGCACAGAGUGGUGACCCACGAAGGGGCAGACAGGAGUGCCUCCUGUCCGCUCUGGAGAACAGAGAGGAAGUGCUAAAGCUGAUGAAGCAGCCUGGCCAGUGCUACAAGGGUAAAGGUGGCCGUUGGGCAGCUGCUGUGUGCAUCCAGGCCUGCUGGAGGUGCUAUCGUACUCGCACUGCUUACUUGCAUCAACAGAGACGUAAGUGGGCGGCCAGAACCAUUGCAAUUUCCUGGCUAUUGCAUGCUCAACUGAGCCGCGUGAGAAAGAGUCUGCAGGCCACCCGCCUCCGUCACCUGGAGAAUUACCACAACAGAGCAAAGCAUUUGGCCACAAACUGGGACCAAUUUAUCACCUCCAAGAGGACCAUUAUUCACGUGCCCUCAUUAGGAUACUCUCAGCACCUGCGCCACAGCCUAAAAAGCUUUGACAUACUGCAGAACACUCAGAUGGGUCGGCUGUGUGACAUUAGAGAUAAGAAUGUGGAGGUGAUCUAUGUGUGUCCGGUGCAACUGGGAGAAGACUUAAUCCACUACUACACUCAUCUGCUGGGCCUAGACGCAGCUAUUGAGACAGGGAAGCCAACCCCUUCUAGCUGUGCCAAAAGUUUUACCAUCCUUACACCUGAGGCACAUCAGCACUUUCCAAGCCACUGCAUGUGUGUGUCCACACUGCUGAAGUACAGCCCACACACAUUGCGCCUUAUUAAGGGCCAGAUCCAGGGAAAACAGGCCUAUUUAGUCGGUGGUUUCCCCCACAUGGAUGAUCUGGCUGUGGCUGAUGAGUUAGGAGUGCCAUUCCUAGGCCCGGAGCCUGCUGUAGCACAGCUCUAUGGCACAAAGUCUGGAAUCAGGAGGAUCUUCAGCAGCAGUGGGGUUAGCAUGCCUCCUGGACACGCUGACAUAUACACACUGCAGCAGCUGCAUGAGCGUUUUGCCCAGCUGCUGACAGAUCAUUUGGAGGUGCAGCGCUGGCUGUUUAAGAUGGAUGACGAUUUGGAUGGCCGGGGCACAGCCUACUGUGAUGUCUGUCAUGUGAGCUUCCGGCCUUGGGCUUUGCAGGAGUAUAAUCGCCAUGGACCGCAAAUCUGGAGCAUGGCUUGGGCUCAGGAACAAGUGCUAAAAAAGUUUUUGGAGGCAGUACCUGCUCUGUUUACUACCCAUGCUAAGCCUUUUGACACAGCCCGCUAUCCAACCUGGAGCUGCUUCCUGGAACACUUUCUCAGAAAAGGUGGUGUGAUUGAGGCUUACCCUCCUUCAGAUAGCGUAACCUCUAUGACUGUAGAUCUUCUGGUGGAGCCGGGUGGAGGAAUACGCAUGCUCACAUGUGGAGAUCAGCUGCAUGGGCCUGGUCUGCUGCAGAUUUUAGGCUGCUCUGUACCACAGAGUUCGGUGUGCCCUGAUGACCUCUACUCCAUCUGCAUGCAGCUAGGCAAAGCCUGCCAGGAGCGACACAUCCUGGGACAUUUUUCCGUAGACCUGGUCACCUUCCUGAAGCCUGGAACGCUGGAACAGCAGGUGUGGGCUGUUGAUCUAGAUCUAGGCUACAGUAACCAGCUGGCUAUGACCCAGAUCAUGCUCCAUAUGACAGGAGGAACACUGAACUGCCACAAAGGUCGUCUGGAGAUUCCUUCUCCAGUCCAGAACAACAAGCCCACUACACACCUGAGAUCUACAACAGCUGAUGCUCCAAGGCAAGCAACAAGUCAUUUUGCAGUGAUGAGCAGCCGACUGUUUCAUACCAACCUCUCUAUGGUUCACUACAGCGUAUUCUUUCAGAUGUGCAAGGCACAUGGCAUCGGAUUUAACAUCAAGAAAAGACAAGGCUCUGUGUUUGCCCUCCAUGACAGAGCCGAAAGGAGCAGCCUUGGCAUGAUUCUCACCUAUCACUCACAGUAUUUACAACUAUCAGCGUUCUCCAAGGACUUAAUUUACCACCUACACAUUUCACAACAAAUACCUCAAAUAAAAAAACAACAGCCCUCUUUAAGCCUGAGAGCUCUCAUUAAGCUCCCAGCAGCCCCGGCAGUCAAACAAGAACAAUCUCACCAGAUCUCCAGGGAGCACUGCUGACCUUUGCUCGCAACCUCACUGUCAUUCAUCAAGAAAUAUCAGCUCCGAAUAUGCAAGGAGAGACCAAUUUUAAGGACCUGAUUAAGAAUAUCGAGAAGGUGCUGGAUGUAAUCAAACGGAACACUGACAAUGAGCAUAAAGACAAAGAGAAAUGUUGAGAUG
Clarias gariepinus (North African catfish) is the source of this 3180-nucleotide RNA transcript. It is a transcript of the gene named IQ motif containing H, with no coding region annotated. Lineage: Eukaryota; Metazoa; Chordata; Actinopteri; Siluriformes; Clariidae. The transcript is spliced from 22 exons. The record is from RefSeq and is a predicted model, not a curated record.